CGCGUAGACGGUUGUCUAAGUCUGGAGUGAAAGUCCUGCUUUCAAGGUGGGAAUUGCUUUGGAGACUGAAUGACUUGAGUGCGGAAGAGGUAAGUGGAAUUCCCAGUGUAGCGGUGAAAUGCGUAGAGAUUGGGAAGAACACCAGCGGCGAAGGCGACUUACUGGGCCGUAACUGACGUUGAUGCGCGAAAGCGUGGGGAGCGAACAGGAUUAGAUACCCUGGUAGUCCACGCGGUAAACGAUGAGUGCUAGGUGUAGCGGGUAUCGACCCCUGCUGUGCCGGAGUUAACACAAUAAGCACUCCGCCUGGGGAGUACGGCCGCAAGGUUGAA
RNAcentral lists this ribosomal RNA (332 nucleotides) under uncultured bacterium. RNAcentral describes it as "bacterial SSU rRNA". It matches the Rfam family "Bacterial small subunit ribosomal RNA", at positions 568 to 898 of the family's 1533-position model. The record is from RNAcentral.